GCACACUUCCACCCUCUGUUAAGACUGAUAAGAGAUCCUUAGUGAACCAACGCAACAACUUGCCUGUUCAAACUUCCACUGGGAGUAUUUUCACUCUGGAAUGUGUGCAGCCAAACAAGGCAUGCUGGACCCAGCCACCCAGUCCAGUCCAGCUGGAGAAGUUAAACCAUGCCUUACUGGAGAGAGGGCCAAAAAAUGAAUUCCUAGCAUCUGUUGGAGGCACAGUCCUCACCAGGUUGUAUUUCCAAACAUUGGGACUACUUCAAGAUGUAGAGGCGACAGUAAGAUUCUGCAAACACAUUUUGGUAUAUUAAUACCUUAACCCAAGUAGUA
Molecule: long non-coding RNA, 333 nt
Filed under: Danio rerio (zebrafish)
Lineage: Eukaryota; Metazoa; Chordata; Actinopteri; Cypriniformes; Danionidae
Description: lncRNA si:dkey-222o15.1 (ENSDARG00000100671.2)
Source: RNAcentral